RNAcentral lists this ribosomal RNA (237 nucleotides) under uncultured bacterium. RNAcentral describes it as "partial 16S ribosomal RNA". It matches the Rfam family "Bacterial small subunit ribosomal RNA", at positions 99 to 334 of the family's 1533-position model. The record is from RNAcentral.
CGAACGGGUGAGUAACACGUGAAUAAUCUGUCCUUACGUUCCGGAUAAUUGGCCGAAAGGCCUUGUAAUACGGGCGAGGGUCACCUGGAGGCAUCUUCGGGUGAAGGAAGGGGAAACCCGCGCAAGGAGGAAUUCGCGGCCUAUCAGUUAGUUGGUGAGGUAAUGGCUCACCAAGACGACGACGGGUAGCUGGUCUGAGAGGAUGGUCAGCCACAUUGGAACUGAGACACUGUCCAG